GACGAAGGUGGCAAGCGUUGCUCGGAAUUACUGGGCUUAAAGCGGGCGCAGGCGGCCCGGUCAGUCGGAUGUGAAAGCCCUCGGCUCAACCGAGGAAUGGCACCCGAUACUGCCGGGCUUGAGGCAUUCAGGGGCGACUGGAACUCUCGGUGGAGCGGUGAUAUGCGUAGAUAUCGAGAGGAACGCCAAUAGCGAAGGCAGGUCGCUGGGGAUGUCCUGACGCUGAGGCCCGAAAGCCAGGGGAGCGAACGGGAUUAGAUACCCCCGUA
This 269-nucleotide ribosomal RNA is filed under the name uncultured prokaryote. RNAcentral's name for it is "partial 16S ribosomal RNA". It matches the Rfam family "Bacterial small subunit ribosomal RNA", at positions 524 to 792 of the family's 1533-position model. The record is from RNAcentral.